RNAcentral lists this long non-coding RNA (2426 nucleotides) under Mus musculus (house mouse). RNAcentral describes it as "predicted gene, 51627 (Gm51627)". The record is from RNAcentral. Lineage: Eukaryota; Metazoa; Chordata; Mammalia; Rodentia; Muridae.
CUCCCCGCCCAAGGCCGCCGUGAGGAGGAUGCUCACCGCGGCUCUGGUCCCUUCUCCCCUGCGGCCUGCAGCCGACCCCCGGCAGGACCCCGACCCGGGCAGCCCGCCCUCCUCACCGCCAGCGACUGCGCUCCAGCUGCCGACCAUCCCGGCCCGGCUCUGUUUACAAGCGGCUUCUCGCGGUCCCACGCCCAAAAGCUUCCCCGCGGCAGCCCGGCAACAGGAUCCGAUUACACAGAGUUCCAGCCGACGCGUUCUCACGACCGGCCAGGAAGAACACCACAGACCAGAAUCUUCUGCGGCAAGGCUUUAUUGCUUACAUCUUCAGGAGCCAGAGUGCAAGAAGCAAGAGCGAGCGAGAAGCAAGAGAGAGAGAAAACGAAACCCCGUCCCUAUUAAAGAGAAUUCUCCUUCGCCUAGGACGUGUCACUCCCUGAUUGGCUGCAGCCCAUCGGCCGAGUUGACGUCACGGGGAAGGCAGAGCACAUGGAGUGAAGAACCACCCUCGGCACAUGCGCAGAUUAUUUGUUUACCACUUAGAACACAGCUGUCAGCGCCAUCUUGUAACGGCGAAUGUGGGCGCGGCUCCCAACAUCUCCCCCUUUUCUUUUAAUAAGAGCAAAUAGGCCACCCAUAUUAAUGAGAGUGGAGAUAGAGGUCAAAUCCCCAGUGUGUAGGUAAAGGAGCCAUGUACAGGAUUAGCUCUUAGGCUCACAGGCUUUUACCCAGAGCAACCCUGACCUGCUCCCGUGUCGUUUUGCCUGGGGGAAGGGAACUAGGACACUGAACCUUCAUGAAAGAUGACAUGUCUCCCUAGAAUAGGCUCAUAUAUGCCGCAGAGCCUCUCCAUUGCAGUGCUUAGCCGUGCAACUCUCUCGGGCUGCUGAAGCACACUCACUCUAUCCCGUGCAAUGAGUCUAGCCUCGUGAGAUAUAAGAGCUGAGUGGCCAGCGACCUAUUGCCUAAGCAUAGAUAACCAUAUAUCAGGGGGAGCACUAUGUUCUAGAGCUGCAAGCGCCUGGGCAAUAACCACCUUGUCUCUCCUAGUUUGGGCCUUAAGCUUACAGACCAAUCAAAGAAGCAACACUAAUCCACAGCAAAGUGUAUCUCCAAAUAAUAUUAAUCCCACCCAUUUUUUAAAGAAAGAAAAUGCUGAGGAGAUCCAAUUGGGUAAUCCUUUGGUCAGCGACAGGUCCAAGCGCGUGGAGUUGACCUGAAGUCUCAAUUCCCGAAGGAUCUGUUCAAAUUCAGCCAUCCAAUUCUGUAACAUAUACUGAAAAAGACUUUUUGACAAUUUAGCUGCCCUAGUAAAUUUAACAUACUGAAUGGAAAUAACACACAAUCCCGGAAACUUUUGUUCACAUCCCUGCUGAGUUAUUUGUCAUAAUACAUCUAGUUGUAUCUGGACAAGAUCUAUGAGUUGAUUAACCAGCAUGAGACCUCUCUGUAUCUUGACAUUAGCUGAGGCCUGUUUAUCUAUGACUGUAGUCACUGAGGCUGACAAAGUGUUAAUGGUGUCAGUCGUCUGGACCUGUCCAGACAGAGCCAAGGCUGUCUGAAUCAAGGCCAAACCCAGUUCCCAGUUAGUGGUAAAAAGGCAGGAGAAUACUUGAGCAUUAUACAUCACCGUCAUUGGGAGUGGAAAUGUCGACAUUAUCCCCCAACGCUGCUCUCUCUUUAUUAUUGACGCCCUGGACAUCACCAAGACGAGGGACAUUAGUAUUCCCUUGGUCAGUCUGGAUUUUUCGGUCUGCUUUACGGGAACCUUUAUUACCGCGACCCGCAGUUCUGGUUCUGGAAUGAGGGAUCUUCCUUGCGCCAGUCCCGAGUUUUUUCUCGUCCCGGAAUUCGGCACCAAUUGUUAUUAGACGCGUUCUCACGACCGGCCAGGAAGAACACCACAGACCAGAAUCUUCUGCGGCAAGGCUUUAUUGCUUACAUCUUCAGGAGCCAGAGUGCAAGAAGCAAGAGCGAGCGAGAAGCAAGAGAGAGAGAAAACGAAACCCCGUCCCUAUUAAAGAGAAUUCUCCUUCGCCUAGGACGUGUCACUCCCUGAUUGGCUGCAGCCCAUCGGCCGAGUUGACGUCACGGGGAAGGCAGAGCACAUGGAGUGAAGAACCACCCUCGGCACAUGCGCAGAUUAUUUGUUUACCACUUAGAACACAGCUGUCAGCGCCAUCUUGUAACGGCGAAUGUGGGCGCGGCUCCCAACAAUAAUCCAGAUACACUUUUUUAAAAACACCCCUGGUUACUAGCCAUUUUCUAUGUAUUUAUUCCAGGUUUACUGGGGUGUAAUUGACAAACAGUGUCACUAUAUCCCUUCUGUGUCUCCCAAAGGGCAGAUGCUCUGUAAUAUUUAUGUUUAAAUGUUACAUGCCAUUUACCAAGGUACCUAGUAAACCAACUCAAUAAAAGGUUGAUAAAGA